CAGGCCUAACACAUGCAAGUCGAACGCUCGUAGCAAUACGGGAGUGGCAGACGGGUGAGUAACGCGUGGGAACAUGCCCUUUGGUUCGGAACAACUCCGGGAAACUGGAGCUAAAACCGGAUAAGCCCUACGGGGAAAGAUUUAUCGCCGAAGAUUGGCCCGCGUCUGAUUAGCUAGUUGGUAGGGUAAUGGCCUACCAAGGCGACGAUCAGUAGCUGGUCUGAGAGGAUGAUCAGCCACACUGGGACUGAGACACGGCCCAGACUCCUACGGGAGGCAGCAGUGGGGAAUAUUGGACAAUGGGCGCACUGANUCCAGCCAUGCCGCGUGAGUGAUGAAGGCCUUAGGGNUUUGUAAAGCUCUUUCGCGCGCGACGAUAAUAGACGGUNAGCGCGAGAAGAAGCCCCGGCUAAAUGCUGUGCCAGCAGCCGCNGNUANAUACGAAGGGGGCUAGCGUUGUUCCGGAAUCACUGGGCUGUAAAGCGCUAUGCAGGCGGAUUGUUAAANGUCGGGGNGUGAAAUGCCCGAGGCUGCAACCUGCGGAACUGCCUUGCGNAUACUGGGCAAUCUUNGANGUCCGGGAGAGNGUGANGUGGAAUCUGCGANGUGUAGAGNGUGAAAUGCNGUAGAUAUGCGCAAGAACACCANGUGGCGAAGNGCGGCACACUGGGCCCGUGUACUGACGCGGAGNGUGCGAAAGCNGGGGGAGCAAACAGGAUGAGAGACCCUGGUGAGCCCACGCCNGUAAACGAUGGAUGGCUGAGCCGUCGGAAAGUUAACUUCUCGNGUGGCGCNGAAACGCAAUAAGCAUCCCGCCUGGGNGAGUAACGAUCGCAAGAUUAAAAAUCCAAAGGAAUGGACGGGGGCCCGCACAAGCNUGGGAGCAUGUGGUUUAAUUCGAAGCAACNGAGAAGAACUUAACCAGGCCUUGACAGCCCGGUCGCUGCGCCCUUGGAAAGAGGNNNGCUCUCAUUCGGUGGGACCNUUGACANUUGCUGCNUGGUUUCUCAGUCCGUUUGCUGUGAGNUUUUGGUUAAAUCCCGCAACGAGCGCAACCUCCGCCUUAAUUGCCNCNUAAAUUGGGGCAUUUAAAGNNGAUGGCCGUUGNAAAGCCGCGAGGAAGUGGNGGNAGACUCAAUCCCUCUAUGUGCNUACGCUGGGGCCACACACUGUCAACANUGGCGUGACAUUGGGCAGCGAAGGCGCAAGCCCGAGCUAANCUCUAAAAAGCCUGCUCAGUUCGGAUUGGAGUCUGCAACUCGGCUCCAUGAAGUUGGGANCGCUAAGUAAAUCGUGNGAUCAGCACGCCACGUAGAAUAACUUACCCGGGAUUGUAACACACCGCCC
Molecule: ribosomal RNA, 1347 nt
Filed under: uncultured bacterium
Lineage: Bacteria
Description: partial 16S ribosomal RNA
Rfam family: Bacterial small subunit ribosomal RNA
Source: RNAcentral